AAUCCAUGGUGCGAGCAUUUAUGGAUCAACAUUUUACAGCAUUGUCAAGCCUCAUAAAAACUUUCCCCUUCCAUUUGUUUAAAAAUAGCAAUUUCUCUUCUUAGUUG
Non-coding RNA from Gossypium raimondii (Peruvian cotton), 107 nucleotides. The record is from Rfam. Lineage: Eukaryota; Viridiplantae; Streptophyta; Magnoliopsida; Malvales; Malvaceae.